RNAcentral lists this long non-coding RNA (1974 nucleotides) under Olea europaea (common olive). RNAcentral describes it as "long non-coding RNA (OEUR_LNC010710)". The record is from RNAcentral. Lineage: Eukaryota; Viridiplantae; Streptophyta; Magnoliopsida; Lamiales; Oleaceae.
AAAAAAGAAAAAGGUUUUUACCUUUUUUAACCCCCACACCACCCCAAAAAAAGGCUCAAAAGUAGUAACCACUCAUUCGUCUCAAAAUUUCUUUGGGCCUAUAAAAUACCAAAAAUUAUGAUAUGUAGAAUUCAAAAAAUAUUAAAUUUUAUAUCUCUGAAUUCAAAACAACUAAAUCAUAGAGAUACAAAAUUUAUGGUAUCUAUAACGUUCUAUGAUCAAGUCUGAGUGAAAAGCUCAACGUGGAUAAAUAAUCACCACGCCACGUGUGCAAACAUGUCAUCAGAUUCAUCCAUGCCAAUCACUUCCCAUGAUAGGAAAACAAAAUCCCUCUUGAUAAAAUUUUAUGCCUUAUUAUAACUUGUGCAACAAUUUAAGUUUCGUAGCAAUAAGAGGAGAUGUAGAAAUAAGAAAUAUCUAACAUCCAUUAUUUUAAGAAAUAAUGAGAAAUUUUAUGUUGAUGUAGAAGAAAUCAUUCUCCCAAUAAAGAAGAAUCAAAAGGGGGAAAAACCAUUAACUGUUAGGUUAAAUAAGCAACUCUGAGGAAUCUAACAGCCCCCCUUGCAUCAAGUGUGCAGUUAACAGAGAAAAAUGAAGAAAAUUUGGUUCAAGGAGGGAGAAAGAAAUGCUUCCUCUUUCACUCUCGAGCAUUUAACCAGACCUAAUGAUGGAAUAUUAUAAUUGAUAUUAGUAUAUUUAGUUUCCAAUUUUAAACUUUAUUUUAGGAAACAUAAUUACGGUUGAUUUUAUAUUAUUUCCUUACUUAGAAUCGGACCUUUUGAAACCCUAUAAAAAGGGGUAUUAUGCGAUGUAAUUGGGAUAACUUCUGAUAAUGAAAUAAUUGAUAUUUUCCCCUAAAGUCUCUUCUUCUUCUUUCCGUUCCGUCCGUCUAAUUCCCCUUCCCUUUCUACCUCCCCUCUUUCUCUUCUUCUCUCCCCUUUCCCCUUCUCCUACAAUUCUCGUAAUAUAUCUGGCAUCAGCUACCUUCAAAGUUGAAUGCUACCAAUGAAUUUUGAAUGGUAUUAAGAAUUUUUCCGACUUCCAAGAAGAAUAUAAAGACAGCAAUCACUCUAUCCUCACUUUGCAACAUGCUAACUCCAAAUUAGAGCAUUCACUGUCAAAGGGACCCAGACCAUUGCAUUGUGUGAUAAAGGCACUAACAAGUUCCACUUGGGUCUACUCUUGAGUUCAUAAAUGUAUGCAGAACAUAGGAGGAUGUGUAGCAAAAUAAUCAUUGACAAAAGGAAAAACGACAAAAGAAUGGUCAUUAGAUAAUGUAGAGUUUAAAAGACAGCAUUGGUAUAUUGGAACUUGUACUACUAGUGAAAUCCUAUUAAACACAGAAAAUCAUAAAGUCAUACUGCGGUGGCAUUGUGUGCCCUAUUUUUUUAUAAAUACAUUGAAUUUCCAAUACUCAACGGACACCCCAAGACAAGCGUUGAGCACGUGGACAUUCAAGUCAUGUAACGAGUCCACAGAUUUCUCGUAUUCUUUAUAGUUCUAACUCAUGAGGAAUAAGAAAGUGACACAUUAAGGAUGCUGAUGUAAAAUUCUGAACGGAAUUUAAAACAUCAAAACAUUUGUGUAAAAUAUUCAAAAUAAUGUGAGAAAAAUUCAACAAAUUUCAUGUUGAAUUUAUUUAUAUAUACUACAUGUAUUUUUCUUUAUGUGGCAGAGUAAUAUGUAGUUUAAACCAAAGUAUCUUAAUACAAUAAAUAACACUCCAUUUAUUUGAAUAUAUUACACAUAGAAAUCAAAGUUAAAAAAUAUUAAGGUCUUGUUUGAGUCCCAUUUUUACAAAAAUUCAUUUUUUCAAACUCAUUUUCAACCACACAUUCCCCAAUAAUUUUACACGUAAAUCAAAAAAAUUCUUACUUUUAAACCACACAUUCUCCAAAAACUCAAUAUUUAAUAAUACAUUUUCCCCCAAAACAGGGCUCAAAAUAUGGCUAAAUUUAUAGGAAAAUAGAAUAG